RNAcentral lists this small nuclear RNA (308 nucleotides) under Cricetulus griseus (Chinese hamster). RNAcentral describes it as "7SK RNA (ENSCGRG00001001822.1)". It matches the Rfam family "7SK RNA", at positions 3 to 275 of the family's 331-position model. From Rfam's summary of the family: 7SK was discovered as an abundant small nuclear RNA in the mid-70s but a possible function has only recently been suggested. Two independent studies have found that 7SK RNA binds the CDK9/cyclin T complex (known as elongation factor P-TEFb). Lineage: Eukaryota; Metazoa; Chordata; Mammalia; Rodentia; Cricetidae. The record is from RNAcentral.
AUCUGAGGGCGAUCUGGCUGCGACAUCUGUCACCCCAUUGAUCACCAAGGUUGAUUCGGCUAUCUGGCUGGCUAGGCGGGUGUCCCCUUCCUCCCUCACCGCUCCAUGUGUGUCCCUCCUGAAGCUGCGUGCUCGGUCGAAGAGGACGUCCUUCCCCGAAUAGAGGAGGACCGGUCUUCGGUCAAGGGUAUAUGAGUAGCUGCGCUCCCCUGCUAGAACCUCCAAACAAGCUCUCAAGGUCUAUUCAUAAAUUUUUAAAGAAAUAACCUAAGUGAAUAUUUGCUAUUGAGGAUAUUGGGGCUAAGUUU